This 67-nucleotide transfer RNA is filed under the name Diplophos taenia (Pacific portholefish). RNAcentral's name for it is "tRNA-His". It matches the Rfam family "tRNA". Rfam says of the family: Transfer RNA (tRNA) molecules are approximately 80 nucleotides in length. Lineage: Eukaryota; Metazoa; Chordata; Actinopteri; Stomiiformes; Diplophidae. The record is from RNAcentral.
GCGGACAUAGUUUAACGAAAACGCUAGAUUGUGAUUCUGGAAAUAGAGGUUAGACCCCUCCUGCCCG